Molecule: transfer RNA, 73 nt
Filed under: Cordylochernes scorpioides
Lineage: Eukaryota; Metazoa; Arthropoda; Arachnida; Pseudoscorpiones; Chernetidae
Description: tRNA-Thr
Source: RNAcentral
GUCCAGGGAUGGGAAUCGAAUCCACAAUGUUCCGCUUACCGGGCAGAUGCCAUGUCCACUAGGCUACCCUGGA